This 497-nucleotide ribosomal RNA is filed under the name uncultured bacterium. RNAcentral's name for it is "partial 16S ribosomal RNA". It matches the Rfam family "Bacterial small subunit ribosomal RNA", at positions 28 to 507 of the family's 1533-position model. The record is from RNAcentral.
GAUGAACGCUGGCGGCGUGCCUAAUACAUGCAAGUCGAGCGAACGGACGAGAAGCUUGCUUCUCUGAUGUUAGCGGCGGACGGGUGAGUAACACGUGGAUAACCUACCUAUAAGACUGGGGUAACUUCGGGAAACCGGAGCUAAUACCGGAUAAUAUUUUGAACCGCAUGGUUCAAAAGUGAAAGACGGUCUUGCUGUCACUUAUAGAUGGAUCCGCGCUGCAUUAGCUAGUUGGUAAGGUAACGGCUUACCAAGGCAACGAUGCAUAGCCGACCUGAGAGGGUGAUCGGCCACACUGGAACUGAGACACGGUCCAGACUCCUACGGGAGGCAGCAGUAGGGAAUCUUCCGCAAUGGGCGAAAGCCUGGCGGAGCAACGCCGCGUGAGUGAUGAAGGUCUUCGGAUCGUAAAACUCUGUUAUUAGGGAAGAACAUAUGUGUAAGUAACUGUGCACAUCUUGACGGUACCUAAUCAGAAAGCCACGGCUAACUACGUG